UACGAAGGGGGCUAGCGUUGCUCGGAAUUACUGGGCGUAAAGGGCGCGUAGGCGGCACUGUUAGUCAGGCGUGAAAGUCCUGGGCUCAACCUGGGAACUGCGCUUGAUACGGCAGAGCUAGAGGAUGGAAGAGGGUCGCGGAAUUCCCAGUGUAGAGGUGGAAUUCGUAGAUAUUGGGAAGAACACCGGUGGCGAAGGCGGCGACCUGGUCCAUUACUGACGCUGAGGCGCGACAGCGUGGGGAGCAAACAGG
RNAcentral lists this ribosomal RNA (253 nucleotides) under uncultured bacterium. Its description in RNAcentral is "partial 16S ribosomal RNA". It matches the Rfam family "Bacterial small subunit ribosomal RNA", at positions 524 to 776 of the family's 1533-position model. The record is from RNAcentral.